UACGGGGGGGGCAAGCAUUGUUCGGAAUUACUGGGCGUAAAGGGCUCGUAGGCGGCCAACUAAGUCCGACGUGAAAUCCCCAGGCUUAACCUGGGAACUGCGUCGGAUACUGGAUGGCUUGAAUUCGGGAGAGGGAUGCAGAAUUCCAGGUGUAGCGGUGAAAUGCGUAGAUAUCUGGAGGAAUACCGGUGGCGAAGGCGGCAUCCUGGACCGACAUUGACGCUGAUGAGCGAAAGCUAGGGGAGCAAACGGG
RNAcentral lists this ribosomal RNA (253 nucleotides) under uncultured bacterium. Its description in RNAcentral is "partial 16S ribosomal RNA". It matches the Rfam family "Bacterial small subunit ribosomal RNA", at positions 524 to 776 of the family's 1533-position model. The record is from RNAcentral.